This 1290-nucleotide long non-coding RNA is filed under the name Olea europaea subsp. europaea. The record is from RNAcentral. Lineage: Eukaryota; Viridiplantae; Streptophyta; Magnoliopsida; Lamiales; Oleaceae.
GUAUAUUUCUAUUGCUAUUCGGCCAUUCUAUGUGGCUGCACAAUCGACAUCCUAUGUGGCAAACUUUUAAAUUUUAUUUUUAAACCAAAAGUAUAAUUAACGUGUUUUUCCCAAAAAGAGCCCAACUUUUCAUCUUUCCAAUACCAUAAAGAAUGGAUCUACAGAGUACAUUUCAAUCUCUCUCUCUCACCUUAUCCACCGUCGCACUCCGACGGCGGCACCACCGAAAAUUAAAGCCUCAUCUUCUCUGAUAACUUUUGCUAACUUCUUUAAAGAAUAUUGAAUUGAAAAAUUGGUUGCGUCAACCCAAAGGCUGAAUCUCUUUCUUUUUCUUAACUCACCCGUACUCCGACUACAACCACCACCGAUUGCAACUCAUGGGCAGAAGAUUUAUAGGUGCUCGAUUGUUUGAUUUGCCAAGUUUCUCCAAAAGAAGGCGUGGAUGAAUUUGUAAGUGCUGUACAUUCUUUUCUCUACCAGUUUUUUUUUUUUUUUUUAAUUGAUGGAUGCAUUCUUGAAAGUGUUUUUAGCAUUCUGUUUAUUCAUACUCGGGAAAUGGGUUUAAGCCACUUCUUAGGUUUUUUCUAAAUUUUGUUUGCCCAAUUUCUUCAGUCUCUGUUUAUUUUCUGAGUGCCGUGGAAAUGUAUCGUUAAUGGAUUGCACCAAUUCAAUUUGUAUUUUAUAGAAGUACAGAGAGAACCCUUAUCUAUAGAUUUGCACCAUUGGCAUUGCUAAAAAUUAUCUUGUCACUCUGCCAAAUUCAGGUUUUGAUAAUGUGUAUAUGGUUGCUGUAUGUGUUUAAAAUUCAAUGUCACAUGAAAGCACAUUUUCUUGAAUGCUAUGAUGCUGAAAUUUUCACAACCAUUGAUGUCAGACUUCUGUACCAUAUUAAAUUUUAAACAGAUAGACGCUGCUGCAAAUUAUGAAUGCUAUCGGUGAACGUUGCUGCAAAUUGAUCAAGAAUGCAUUACAUUUUGAACUACUUUUUUGUAGUUUCGCUUUGACCAAAUCAUUCAAUUCUAAAGGUUUGUCCUCUCUUAUGUGUACGAAUUCUUGAUAUUCUGUGGAAUUAAAGAGUGUAUAAUGCCUAUCUUCUCGUGUUUAUUAAGUCGACACCAUUCUGUGAAAUUAAACUGUAACAAUAACUAGUUAAAAAGUAAAACAAAAAACCAAUAAUAGAAAAGGGAUAGUUGGUAUUGAUUAUAAAAUUCUUGUUGAUGGAAUUAGUUUUUCUUCCAAUACAAAUUGAUCCCGGGAAUCAUUUUUAUUUGUCCUUGUAUAUUAUUUUAG